UAGGGAAUCUUCGGCAAUGGACGAAAGUCUGACCGGGCAACGCCGCGUGAGUGAAGAAGGUUUUCGGAUCGUAAAACUCUGUUGUUAGAGAAGAACAAGGACGUUAGUAACUGAACGUCCCCUGACGGUAUCUAACCAGAAAGCCACGGCUAACUACGUGCCAGCAGCCGCGGUAAUACGUAGGUGGCAAGCGUUGUCCGGAUUUAUUGGGCGUAAAGCGAGCGCAGGCGGUUUCUUAAGUCUGAUGUGAAAGCCCCCGGCUCAACCGGGGAGGGUCAUUGGAAACUGGGAGACUUGAGUGCAGAAGAGGAGUGUGGAAUUCCAUGUGUAGCGGUGAAAUGCGUAGAUAUAUGGAGGAACACCAGUGGCGAAGGCGGCUCUCUGGUCUGUAACUGACGCUGAGGCUCGAAAGCGUGGGGAGCAAACAGG
RNAcentral lists this ribosomal RNA (429 nucleotides) under Gemmatimonadota bacterium. RNAcentral's name for it is "Gemmatimonadetes bacterium partial 16S ribosomal RNA". It matches the Rfam family "Bacterial small subunit ribosomal RNA", at positions 355 to 776 of the family's 1533-position model. The record is from RNAcentral. Lineage: Bacteria; Pseudomonadati; Gemmatimonadota.